GUAACAAGGCAGAUGUUACCUUAAGGGUUUAGUGAAGAGGAUAAGACCGGUGAAAGGAUAAGGGACGCGCGGUGCCAGGCUGGAACAGGCUGGAAAGCUGAAGCACCUUUAGUCCAAGAUGCCAUAAGCAUGUGAGCCAUCCUGACCAAUCAUUCAAAAGGCGCCCCUUGACUCCACACGGUUUAAUAGUGCUCAGUUCCCUUCUUGUAAACCCUUGUGUCUCUCUUAUAAAUAUGUAACCUCACUCAUUAAUAAGAUUAAGCAAGUUUUGAGUCUCUCUCUUAGUCUUUAAAUCUCAAUGGUUCCAUAUUAGACUCAUAAUCUCAUUUCAU
This 332-nucleotide long non-coding RNA is filed under the name Brassica napus (rape). Its description in RNAcentral is "long non-coding RNA (BNAP_LNC015474)". Lineage: Eukaryota; Viridiplantae; Streptophyta; Magnoliopsida; Brassicales; Brassicaceae. The record is from RNAcentral.